GCGGCUACUUUGGUAGCCCCAAAGGUAUAUUCGUUAUCUAGUGUGGAGCUCUGUAGUCUAUUUAUCUAGUAUAUGGAUUAUUAUUUUGCUUUGGUCAAAUGAGAUUUGGUGGAUUUUGGUUGGAGAAACUUUUGUGCUUGGGCUUCUUGCCUUUUACUGAAUUGGGAAGCUUAAAGUAGAUUUAGAAUUCUAAUGGUUUUGGAAGCCAGCGUUUGUUUGUGAUUUUUAAUUGUGAGAUGUUUGAGAAAUCCUUCACGGCCCCUGCUAUUCCCUUUAUGAUGGUGUGGAAUUUAACUUUUUGUAGCAUUCCAUAGCCAACAUACGCUUCUUUGAUAAUUUUGAGUUGAUAGGUAGCUCUAGUUUGAGCUAUAAUGGUUUUGUCAGCUUAUCUUACAAAAUAGUCUUGAAUUUUCGUAGUACACUUCGAUUAAGCCUUUGG
RNAcentral lists this unclassified non-coding RNA (439 nucleotides) under Hevea brasiliensis (rubber tree). The record is from RNAcentral. Lineage: Eukaryota; Viridiplantae; Streptophyta; Magnoliopsida; Malpighiales; Euphorbiaceae.